GACGAGCAGCCCGCGACUCAUCCAUCUGUCUCUUUCUCUCCCCAAUCCACCCGCCGCCGGCGAUCUCUCCUCCCGCACCGGCGACCUCCUCUCCGCCAGCCCCGCCAAGGGCCUCGUCUCCCGCAGCCCCACGACGACCUCCCUUCCUUCCUCCAUCCCUUCUUAGCGACAGUGACAGGGACCGAAACCCUAGCCCCUCACUUCCACCCGCGGUCCGGAUGAGGCGGAGAGACGGACGCCCUCCGUCUUCCGCCGAAUGCGCCCACCAGCGGUGGCUCGGCUGCUGCUCCCGCAGCGCGACGGAGGCCGAUCCCGUCCACCCCCUUCUCUCCGCGGGGCAUGGCACAUGGACAUGGGGGAGCGGCGCCAUCUCCGACCUUACUGGGACGGCGCCUCCCUCCCCUCACCUCCCCACGCGCCGCAGGACCUAGACGCCCAAGACUUACUUGCGCUUCAGAUCUGACCUGUUCCAUCCGACGACGACGACGACGACGGACGAUGACGACCAGACCCACAGGAUCUCCUCGCCGCGCCGGCUUGUAUCUACAUCUCCUCCCGGAAGACGACAUGUACUUUACUGGCCGGUGAUGGUGAAUUCACAUCUUUGCAUCGAAGACAGUCUUGAUAUUUUGAAGGAGUUGCAUUGAGGACAAUCCCCACAGCCACAGGUCAGUUACUCUUUCCAGAAAGAAAUUGACAAGCUUACGAGUUUUGAGCAGCAGAGCUGCUAUGUAUGGCAGGCUCUUUGUACCUUCUCGACUGAUUACUUGAGUUGAAUGCUUACAAAUUCUUAGGUUGAGCUAUUUAAGUUAAUAAAGCCAAACCGGCCGUCAGUGAUGAUCUGUCAUCUAGUGUUAUCUUUUGUUGUCUACAAAAAUAACAAUUUAAUUACCAGUAUGUGCCAGUGAUGAUCUAUCAUCUAGUGUUCAUGGAAACAUAUCAUUAUCUUUGUGUCAUAUAAACACUGACUGCCAAAUGUUACAGCACCAUUUCGAGUUCUUCCUCAAGACGCCCACCCUCGACGGCGUUCUCGCAACAAGAGUUCUCGCGUGUGUUUCAGUUUGCCUCUGGCGUUCUGGCGACAAUCUGUACUAGCUGCCAUCUGUAUUGAUUUCAGUUUUAAAAAAAAAGACGAUCUGUAUUGAUUUUGAUUCGUUUCCUUUUCUGGCGGAUGCACGACCUGUUUCCUAUGUAUGUAUAGGUACACUUACUAUGUUUUCAAAGUUGGCUGGCACAGAGCAAAGUCAUCAACCAAUGCCAUCUUCCAGUCAUUCUUUGUUUAUCUGAAUCACUCACUGUAAUUUGUAGUACUUGGAAAUUUACUUGUGGCAGUCUGAAGCUUUAUUUUAGUAAUAUACUUGGAGAAUUCCAAAUUGA
Aegilops tauschii subsp. strangulata is the source of this 1377-nucleotide non-coding RNA. NCBI's taxonomy places the organism in Eukaryota, Viridiplantae, Streptophyta, Magnoliopsida, Poales, Poaceae. The record is from RefSeq and is a predicted model, not a curated record.